Molecule: long non-coding RNA, 463 nt
Filed under: Oryza brachyantha (malo sina)
Lineage: Eukaryota; Viridiplantae; Streptophyta; Magnoliopsida; Poales; Poaceae
Description: long non-coding RNA (OBRA_LNC000925)
Source: RNAcentral
CGUAUGGUGCGGCGGCGGCGGCGAUGGCACCGGAACAGCCUUGCCAGCCAUCCGGGCCUCGAGCUUGGCGAGUUUGGACGAUGACGGGUUGGAAUUAGACGAGAGGUGCUGCACUAUAUCCUCCCCCGCCGCCGACGAUCCCGACAUUGCCGCUGAUUUGCACCCAAACCGGAUCGGCCGCGCCACGGAAGCUUCCAGAACAAGCAAAAACCAACCGACGCACGCGCCAACCAGUCAGCUCAUCUCACUACGGCCGCCCAAGCACGCCCUCCUCAACGCAGCCACCGGAUGGAUCUACCCGCCGCUACACGAGGGGCACCCAACGGCGCGGCGGCGCGUGGACUCCUCGGCGGAGGAACGAACGAACGAGACCGGCCAAACCGAGCGGCUGCGCAGCUGCUGCCCGCCUCUUCCUCCUCCGCCCUGUUGACUCCCCCACCCCGCGUGCGCGGCGCCGGCUAGG